ACUUGAUAUUUUUUAAAAUUCUUGUCUACGAACUCGUGAUAACUCUUAAUAGUAGAAUUUCUAUUUCUAGAAAUUUCAUAUGCAGUUUUUAGCUUUCCAGUGGAUGACCCAGCUUAAGAGAUUCUAUCUCGUUAAUUGAAAACUGUGUCAAACUAGAAAUGAAAGAUCAAUGUAAGAGGAAUACAAAGGCUCGAGCUAUGACCUUUUCUGACAUCAAAUCUUGCGGAUGGUCUCAUAGUCCUCUGCAUCCUUGGAAACGUAUGAUGUGUCCAAUUUUGAUGGAUUAGAAGCAUUAUAGAGCAUGUUUAGCUAAGUUUAAAAAUUUGAAGAUGCUCUGAAACAUCCGUACCUAAACUCGCUCCACGACAUCAGUGAUGAGCCUACUUGUCCAACUCUGUUUUGCUUUGACUUCGAGCAGCAUGCUGUUACCGAAGAACAGAUGAAGGAGCUGAUUUACAGGGAGUCUCUUGCAUUCGAUCCCCAGUAUAGGCAAGUACGAAGAAUCGUCUGACUCUAAUGUUGUAAUGAUUUCAUGUAUAUAUGGUCCAUCCCAUACUGGAAUGGCUUUGAUCUGAAAUUAUCAUGGUUAAUUUGAAAUCUUGUGAAUUCUUGCCUGCUGCAUUAGGCUUUGGAAUUUAAGGUUAGAUUAUGGUGUUAAGCUUUGAAUGUUUCUUCUAUUUAUUGAAGCAUUGUUCUGAAAAAUGACCUCAAAAAUUGCAAUCACUAAUUUCUUGAAUUACUUGGUUACAGUGCCAAAAUAUUCAAUUGUGUAUGCAGAGCUUUGUGAAAUGGGUUACGUCGACCUGCUUGGUUUCGAAGUUACUCGAUAUGGCUCAUCCUUUGGCCCGACAUGGCCUCUAGUUUUCAAGCAGGUCGGUCCACUGCACAACCCGUGCCGAAUUGGCCCGGGCUUAGU
Molecule: RNA transcript, 916 nt
Organism: Olea europaea var. sylvestris
Lineage: Eukaryota; Viridiplantae; Streptophyta; Magnoliopsida; Lamiales; Oleaceae
Gene name: mitogen-activated protein kinase homolog MMK1-like
Exons: 2
Source: RefSeq, a predicted model, not a curated record